This 1935-nucleotide ribosomal RNA is filed under the name human gut metagenome. RNAcentral's name for it is "bacterial LSU rRNA". It matches the Rfam family "Bacterial large subunit ribosomal RNA", at positions 3 to 1979 of the family's 2925-position model. The record is from RNAcentral.
UCAAGUGACUAAGUGUAUGUGGUGGAUGCCUUGGCGAUCACAGGCGAUGAAGGACGUAGUAGCUUGCGAUAAGCUGCGGGGAGCCGGCAAACGGGCUUUGAUCCGCAGAUUUCCGAAUGGGGGAACCCACCGACGUAGGUCGGUAUCACGCACUGAAUACAUAGGUGCGUGAGGCGAACGGAGCGAACUGAAACAUCUAAGUAGCUCCAGGAAAAGAAAUCAACCGAGAUUGCGAAAGUAGCGGCGAGCGAAAUUGCAGCAGCCCAGUGUUCUGAUAGCACGAACGACAGCAGAAGGGUCUGGAAAGGCCCGCUAUAGAGGGUGAUAGCCCCGUAUGCGAAAUCGAACGUGUGGUACUAAGGAACCGAUAAGUAGGGCGGGACACGUGACAUCCUGUCUGAAGAUGGGGGGACCAUCCUCCAAGGCUAAAUACUCGUGAUCGACCGAUAGUGAACCAGUACUGUGAAGGAAAGGCGAAAAGAACCCCGGGAGGGGAGUGAAAUAGAACCUGAAACCGCAUACAUACAAACAGUAGGAGCCCCUGCAGUGGGGUGACUGCGUACCUUUUGCAUAAUGGGUCAGCGACUUACGUUUUGUGGCGAGCUUAACCGAGUAGGGGAGGCGUAGCGAAAGCGAGUUCGAAUAGAGCGACAAGUCUCAAGGCGUAGACCCGAAACCAGAUGAGCUAUCCAUGGCCAGGUUGAAGGUGUGGUAACACACACUGGAGGACCGAACCGACUAGUGUUGCAAAAUUAGCGGAUGAGCUGUGGAUAGGGGUGAAAGGCUUAACAAAUCUGGAGAUAGCUGGUUCUCCCCGAAAACUAUUGAGGUAGUGCCUCGUGUAUUGCUCCAGGGGGUAGAGCACUGUUAUGGCUAGGGGGACAUGGCGUCUUACCAAACCAUGGCAAACUCCGAAUACUUGGAAGUAAGAGCACGGGAGACAGAGCACCGGGUGCUAACGUCCGGACUCAAGAGGGAAACAACCCAGACCGCCGUUUAAGGUCCCAAAUAUUGACUAAGUGGAAAACGAAGUGUGAAGGCUAAGACAGUCAGGAAGUUGGCUUAGAAGCAGCCAUCCUUCAAAGAAAGCGUAAUAGCUCACUGAUCGAGUCCUCAUGCGCGGAAGAUGUAACGGGGCUAAGUCAAUAACCGAAAGCGCGGAUUUGCAUGAAAGUGCAAGUGGUAGGGGAGCGUUCUGUAAGCCUGCGAAGGUGGUUCGAGAGGACUGCUGGAGGUAUCAGAAGUGCGAAUGCUGACAUGAGUAACGUUAAAGCGGGUGAAAAGCCCGCUCGCCGUAAGCCCAAGGUUUCCUGCUCUACGUUCAUCGGAGCAGGGUGAGUCGGCCCCUAAGGCCAGGCUGAGAAGCGUAGUCGAUGGGAAGCAGAUUAAUAUUUCUGCACCAUGUGCAAGUGCGAUGGGGGGACGGAGUGCGAAAGAUCAUCCGGGUGUUGGAUGUCCCGGUUUGUGAGUGUAGAAGGCCGACAGGCAAAUCCGUCGGCGGAUCUUCGAGACAAAGCAUCGAGGUUCUACGGAACCGAAGUGAUCGGAAGUGCUUCCAGGAAAAGCCUCUAAGCUUCAGCUUGCAUAUGACCGUACCGUAAACCGACACUGGUGGGCGAGUUGAAUAUACUCAGGCGCUUGAGAGAACUCGGGAGAAGGAACUCGGCAAAUUGACACCGUAACUUCGGGAUAAGGUGUGCCUUUGUAGCGUGAAGAGAGAAACACUCGGAGCGUGAAGAGGCCUCAGAGAAUCGGUGGCUGCAACUGUUUAUUAAAAACACAGCACUCUGCAAAGACGAAAGUCGACGUAUAGGGUGUGAUGCCUGCCCGGUGCUGGAAGAUUAAGUGAUGGGGUGAGAGCUCCUGAUCGAAGUCCCAGUAAACGGCGGCCGUAACUAUAACGGUCCUAAGGUAGCGAAAUUCCUUGUCGGGUAA